GAUGAACGCUGGCGGCGUGCCUAAUACAUGCCAGUCGAGCGAACGGACGAGAAGCUUGCUUCUCUGAUGUUAUCGGCGGACGGGUGAGUAACACGUGGAUAACCUACCUAUAAGACUGGGAUAACUUCGGGAAACCGGAGCUAAUACCGGAUGAUAUUUUGAACCGCAUGGUUCAAAAGUGAAAGACGGUCUUGCUGUCACUUAUAGAUGGAUCCGCGCUGCAUUAGCUAGUUGGUAAGGUAACGGCUUACCAAGGCAACGAUGCAUAGCCGACCUGAGAGGGUGAUCGGCCACACUGGAACUGAGACACGGUCCAGACUCCUACGGGAGGCAGCAGUAGGGAAUCUUCCGCAAUGGGCGAAAGCCUGACGGAGCAACGCCGCGUGAGUGAUGAAGGUCUUCGGAUCGUAAAACUCUGUUAUUAGGGAAGAACAUAUGUGUAAGUAACUGUGCACAUCUUGACGGUACCUAAUCAGAAAGCCACGGCUAACUACGUG
This 497-nucleotide ribosomal RNA is filed under the name uncultured bacterium. RNAcentral's name for it is "partial 16S ribosomal RNA". It matches the Rfam family "Bacterial small subunit ribosomal RNA", at positions 28 to 507 of the family's 1533-position model. The record is from RNAcentral.